AUGCACCGAAGCUGCGGAUUCAAACUUUGUUUGAGUGGUAGGGGAGCGUUCUGUAAGCCGUUGAAGGUGUGCCGGGAGGCAUGCUGGAGGUAUCAGAAGUGCGAAUGCUGACAUGAGUAACGAUAAUGCGGGUGAAAAACCCGCACGCCGGAAGACCAAGGGUUCCUAUCCCAUGUUAAUCAGGGUAGGGUAAGUCGACCCCUAAGGCGAGGCCGAAAGGCGUAGUCGAUGGGAAACGGAUUAAUAUUUCCGUACUUGGUAUAAUUGCGAUGGGGGGACGGAGCAGGCUAAGCAAGCAUGGCGAUGGUAGUCCAUGUGAAAGUGUGUAGGCUAGUGACUUAGGUAAAUCCGGGUUGCUGUUAGGCUGAGACACGAGACGAGUCACCAAGGUGAUGAAGUUGCUGAUGCCAUACUUCCAGGAAAAGCCUCUAAGCUUCAGAUUAUACCGAAUCGUACCCCAAACCGACACAGGUGGUCAGGUAGAGAAUACUAAGGCGCUUGAGAGAACUCGGGUGAAGGAACUAGGCAAAAUCGUACCGUAACUUCGGGAGAAGGUACGCUCCGAUUGGUGAUGAGACUUGCUCUCUAAGCUGAUUGGAGCCGCAGUGACCAGGUGGCUGGGACUGUUUAUUAAAAACACAGCACUGUGCAAAAUCGCAAGAUGACGUAUACGGUGUGACACCUGCCCGGUGCCGGAAGGUUAAUUGAUGGGGUUAUCUUCGGAGAAGCUCUUGAUCGAAGCCCCGGUAAACGGCGGCCGUAACUAUAACGGUCCUAAGGUAGCGAAAUUCCUUGUCGGGUAAGUUCCGACCUGCACGAAUGGUGUAACCAUGGCCACGCUGUCUCCACCCGAGACUCAGUGAAAUUGAAAUCGCAGUGAAGAUGCUGUGUACCCGCGGCUAGACGGAAAGACCCCGUGAACCUUUACUACAGCUUGGCACUGAACAUUGAACCUACAUGUGUAGGAUAGGUGGGAGACUUAGAAGCAGAGACGCUAGUUUUUGUGGAGUCGUCCUUGAAAUACCACCCUUGUAGUUUUGAUGUUCUAACGUUGGCCCCUGAAUCGGGGUUACGGACAGUGCCUGGUGGGUAGUUUGACUGGGGCGGUCUCCUCCCAAAGAGUAACGGAGGAGCACGAAGGUUGGCUAAGUACGGUCGGACAUCGUACGGUUAGUGUAAUGGUAGAAGCCAGCUUAACUGCGAGACAGACACGUCGAGCAGGUACGAAAGUAGGUCAUAGUGAUCCGGUGGUUCUGAAUGGAAGGGCCAUCGCUCAACGGAUAAAAGGUACUCCGGGGAUAACAGGCUGAUACCGCCCAAGAGUUCAUAUCGACGGCGGUGUUUGGCACCUCGAUGUCGGCUCAUCACAUCCUGGGGCUGAAGUCGGUCCCAAGGGUAUGGCUGUUCGCCAUUUAAAGUGGUACGCGAGCUGGGUUUAGAACGUCGUGAGACAGUUCGGUCCCUAUCUGCCGUGGGCGUUUGAGAAUUGAGAGGGGUUGCUCCUAGUACGAGAGGACCGGAGUGAACGAACCGCUGGUGUUCGGGUUGUCAUGCCAAUGGCAUUGCCCGGUAGCUACGUUCGGAACUGAUAAGCGCUGAAAGCAUCUAAGCGCGAAGCAGGCCUCGAGAUGAGUUCUCACUAGACUUUUAAAGUCUCUGAAGGGCCGUUGAAGACUACAACGUUGAUAGGCAGGAUGUGGAAGUGGUGUGAGCCAUUAAGCUAACUUGUACUAAUUACCCGUGAGGCUUAACCAUACAACGCCAAACGCGUUU
RNAcentral lists this ribosomal RNA (1773 nucleotides) under Pseudoalteromonas sp. S4741. RNAcentral describes it as "partial 23S ribosomal RNA". It matches the Rfam family "Bacterial large subunit ribosomal RNA", at positions 1189 to 2925 of the family's 2925-position model. Lineage: Bacteria; Pseudomonadati; Pseudomonadota; Gammaproteobacteria; Alteromonadales; Pseudoalteromonadaceae. The record is from RNAcentral.